RNAcentral lists this ribosomal RNA (254 nucleotides) under uncultured bacterium. RNAcentral describes it as "partial 16S ribosomal RNA". It matches the Rfam family "Bacterial small subunit ribosomal RNA", at positions 524 to 776 of the family's 1533-position model. The record is from RNAcentral.
UACGUAGGGUGCAAGCGUUAUCCGGAAUUAUUGGGCGUAAAGAGCUCGUAGGCGGUUUGUCGCGUCUGCUGUGAAAACUGGGGGCUCAACCCCCAGCCUGCAGUGGGUACGGGCAGACUAGAGUGCGGUAGGGGAGAUUGGAAUUCCUGGUGUAGCGGUGGAAUGCGCAGAUAUCAGGAGGAACACCGAUGGCGAAGGCAGAUCUCUGGGCCGUAACUGGACGCUGAGGAGCGAAAGCAUGGGGAGCGAACAGG